CCCCUCAUCCCUAACCCUUCCUCUUCUUGCCGACUCCCCAUGAUCUGCUCUACCAAGAAAAAACAAGUUCAUUAACCAAUAAGCUGCUUACUCAUGGAAUUUAAAACCACAACACUUCAUUUUAUUUUAUGAUAGCCUUUGGCCACUUCUUUUAGUCACCAGUGUGUUUAAAAACUUACAUUGGAAACAAAGCCAAGACAAACAAAAUCUGUUUGUUUGUUACAAGCUCACACUCCUGAUUUACAGGCACACCAUGCUGCGAGUGGGUUGGAGGGUGUAGAUUGGAGGACCUCCUCAUGGGCCCAGCCAAAAAGGAAAUGGACAAGACCAGGCAGUGCCUCACAGGGACUGACUGGACCAUGAAUGCUUUUUGAUAAAGCAGAAAUCAGCAGCUGGUCCCUCAAGUCCUGUCCACUCUCCAUCCAGGCUAACAAUCCCAAAGUAAUACUGAGUGAAUGCUGCACUGUCAAAGGGUCAGUACUGAGGGAGUGCUGUACUGUAGGAG
Chiloscyllium plagiosum (whitespotted bambooshark) is the source of this 505-nucleotide non-coding RNA. NCBI's taxonomy places the organism in Eukaryota, Metazoa, Chordata, Chondrichthyes, Orectolobiformes, Hemiscylliidae. The record is from RefSeq and is a predicted model, not a curated record.